UUUGCGCUGGGAGCCACGAUAAUAGGAACAAGUCCAUGUGAGUGAACUUCAUCCAGCAGCUGAUAGCUGACCUCCAAUAAGCACAACUGCUCAUCCUUUCUGACAGAUGGUAAAUUGAAAGUAGAAUUGUGCGUAUGAAGGAGGAUGAAAAAGUGCUUCAAGGGAAUAUACACAAGCUGAGUGUGUGGACAAAACACAAAUGCAAUAUAAUGUCAAAAAAUGUGAAGAUAUCCAAGUUGGUGACAAAAUAAAAGUGAUGUUCUUACUUAAACAGCAAGUGGACAGACAUCACUGAAGUCAACAUGCAGAAAGAAAGAAAGAAAAAAAGAAAGAAAUAAUCGAAUCUAAAGAAUCAAAAAAAGACUUAGGAAUAAAAACAGGCAUUUACAGGAAAGAAAAGAAAUAAGAAAAAUUAUGACUUCCAGGGCGCCUCGAGGCGACUCGUGUGGCAGCAGAACUCUCAAUGGAUCCUGACAAUUGAAUUUAUGAAAAAAUGUUACAUAAGCAAAGGUGACAAAUACCCAAUGUGGAAGUGAAGACAAAUUGUGCAUAUAAAAAAUAAAUAAUAUUGAGAACAUGAA
Mobula hypostoma (lesser devil ray) is the source of this 581-nucleotide long non-coding RNA. RefSeq lists it as uncharacterized. The record is from RefSeq and is a predicted model, not a curated record. Lineage: Eukaryota; Metazoa; Chordata; Chondrichthyes; Myliobatiformes; Myliobatidae. The transcript has 3 exons.